RNAcentral lists this long non-coding RNA (1656 nucleotides) under Homo sapiens (human). RNAcentral's name for it is "HSALNT0130588". Lineage: Eukaryota; Metazoa; Chordata; Mammalia; Primates; Hominidae. The record is from RNAcentral.
GAAUGGUGUGAGGUGCUAUGGAAGUAAAGGUCUGUCGAGUGGGGUACAGCAUCGCAUGGUGGCCCUGGACUCACUGCAAGUCAGCAGGGCUGGAAAUCGGGAAAUAAAGACAGGGAAGCUCCUGGGGGUAAUCUUGAGACAGAUGAACCAAGUCUGGAGACCCACCUGCAAAGUUCCAGAGAUGACUUCAAGGUGGCGAGUCAACAGCCUCACCAUUGUUGAGAUGACACCAGCCCGUGAUCCAGCUUCCACACAACAGCCCUGAUGUUUACCAGCAGGCGUCUCUUGUUUAGUCUCAUUGUCUUUGGCAAGUUCAAUCUCAACCAGAUUGUUGUUCUUCUCAAGAGGACUGAUCCCAGCAGGCUCCAGCCCUAAAGCGGACUGUUCGGGAGAUCUGUGUUAACUUUGUGUUUCAGUCCUCAGUCUCACGGUACUGGGUCCUACCGUGAGCGGAAAAUCCCUCUCUACAUCAGAACAGCCUUCUGGCCAUGCUACAGUCCUCGCUCAGAAACACGGCACACCAUAUAUAAAUAUGAUGGAUAAGCAGUGAGUGUGUAAAGACCUUGUGACUACUGAAUGUUUUGUAAAAGGUACGUAUCCAAAAUAAUUAAAAUCAGGACCUCAAAGAACUAUCUGCACUUCCAUGUUCAUUGCAGCAUUAUUCAUAAUAGCCCAAAUGUGGAAACCAUCUAAAUGCUCAUUGACAGAUGAAUGGAUAAAGAAAAUGUGGCACAUAUAUACCAUCAAAUAUUAUUUAGCCUUAAUACAGCAGAAAAUCCUGCCAUAUGCAAAAACAUGACUGAACCUACAGGAUGUUAUGGUGAUAUGAUAUCCACUGUCCACGUCAUCCAAAACCUAAGUUUGUUUGGCUUCAGAGUUGCAGGACAUUCCAAUUAUUCCACCUUUCUCAGCUUCCUACCCUUCGUGAUCCACUCCAGCCAACAUGUAAGGAGAAUCUGGGGGAGUAAAGGAGGGCAAAUUGGAAAAUGUCGCUUCUGUUACCCAGUCUCUGCCCAUUUUGGCCUUAAUAAAAUUUUGAUCAAAAUUUAAAAAUUAGGAAUAUGUGUGUUUCACCAUUUAUCUGUGAAGGAAAGAAUCCUGCCUUAUGCCUAAAAAUAUUUUAAUAAUGUGGUAACAUUACCACUAAUAAUAGAACCUGCCUACGCACCAACACAAUUCCAAUCUAAGAGUUAGUCAUAUCCUCCCAUCAAGACACUGUGUGCAGAUUUUCUUCAGUCAUAUUCAGAUGGGAUUUCAGGUUCCAGUCUGAAGACAAAGAGAUUAUAGAUCAGAAGAGACAUCUAAUUUCAACUAAAUCAUGCUUGCAAACAAAGCAACACACACACACACACACACACACACACACACACACACACACACACACGAAACCCUGCCUGUUUUCAUUUUUAUUAUCCCAUCUGGCACUACCCAGAUAAGAAAAUAACUAAAAUAAAUAUUUUCCAUUAACCAUUUGCAUAAAUCAUGAUUUACUCUCACAGGUAUCUCAACAGUACCCACACCGGUGAUAGGACUGAUAAUGUUGAUUGACUGUUUACUAUCUGCCAUGCACUUCUAGAAGAGCUUGACUUGGGUUUUCUCAUUUGUUUCUCAAAACAUUCUUAUGAGACAGACACCAUUAUUAUCCCCACAUUACAG